This is a non-coding RNA of Drosophila virilis, 141 nucleotides long. The record is from RefSeq and is a predicted model, not a curated record. Lineage: Eukaryota; Metazoa; Arthropoda; Insecta; Diptera; Drosophilidae.
UUCAAUCUGAUCAGCGCCAAUUUAUUUGGACUCGCGAUUAUUUUGCUGCUCGUUGUCUGGCGCAAGAAAGCCACGCAUCCCGCACACUACGAACCCAUUUUCAAGUGAUAUCUCAGCCAUAAAACUGAUAUUAAGCAAAAA